RNAcentral lists this ribosomal RNA (495 nucleotides) under uncultured bacterium. RNAcentral describes it as "partial 16S ribosomal RNA". It matches the Rfam family "Bacterial small subunit ribosomal RNA", at positions 29 to 506 of the family's 1533-position model. The record is from RNAcentral.
AUGAACGCUGGCGGCGUGCCUAAUACAUGCAAGUCGAGCGAACAGACGAGGAGCUUGCUCCUCUGACGUUAGCGGCGGACGGGUGAGUAACACGUGGAUAACCUACCUAUAAGACUGGGAUAACUUCGGGAAACCGGAGCUAAUACCGGAUAAUAUAUUGAACCGCAUGGUUCAAUAGUGAAAGACGGUUUUGCUGUCACUUAUAGAUGGAUCCGCGCCGCAUUAGCUAGUUGGUAAGGUAACGGCUUACCAAGGCGACGAUGCGUAGCCGACCUGAGAGGGUGAUCGGCCACACUGGAACUGAGACACGGUCCAGACUCCUACGGGAGGCAGCAGUAGGGAAUCUUCCGCAAUGGGCGAAAGCCUGACGGAGCAACGCCGCGUGAGUGAUGAAGGGCUUCGGAUCGUAAAACUCUGUUAUUAGGGAAGAACAAAUGUGUAAGUAACUAUGCACGUCUUGACGGUACCUAAUCAGAAAGCCACGGCUAACUACGU